RNAcentral lists this long non-coding RNA (490 nucleotides) under Ananas comosus (pineapple). RNAcentral describes it as "long non-coding RNA (ACOM_LNC015159)". The record is from RNAcentral. Lineage: Eukaryota; Viridiplantae; Streptophyta; Magnoliopsida; Poales; Bromeliaceae.
CAGAAAACCCCCUUGUAAUAACUCGCUUUUUCACUUUCCCCCUUGACAUUUAAAAACCUACACUUUGCCCCCCUAUAAAAUAAAAAAUGUGCACUUCACCCCCUACCGUUAGGGUUCCGACAGGGUUCCGUUAAAAAAUAUAUUUUUAUGCCAAAAAUACCCCUCCGCCAUCUCCCUGUUGCUUCGACUCCCUCCCGCUCGCCACCUCGCCGCUGCCUCGCCGCGUCGCCGCCUCGCCGUCCUCCACUGCCUCGCCUUCACCCACAUCCCCUUCGCCAUCCUCCGUCGCCUCGCCUUCGCCUUCGCCUUCUUUGCCCUUCUCCUACUGUUGCCCACCUCGAUUUUCUCCUACUGUCGCCGAAAUUGAGGGCGGCGAGGGUGUAGGAGGAGAAGGAGAGCAGGUGGAGAAGGAAAUUGAGAGAAAUCGCGGCCGAUUGAGGUGGGAAUCGCGGCCGAACGAAGGGGUUGCUGAGGAAGAUGGGGAAGAAGA